GGCCAUGCGGCAUCUUACACAUGCAAGUCGAACGAUGAACCGCUUUCGGGCGGGGAUUAGUGGCGAACGGGUGAGUAACACGUGGGCAAUCUGCCCUGCACUCUGGGACAAGCCCUGGAAACGGGGUCUAAUACCGGAUAUGACUGUCCAUCGCAUGGUGGAUGGUGUAAAGCUCCGGCGGUGCAGGAUGAGCCCGCGGCCUAUCAGCUUGUUGGUGAGGUAGUGGCUCACCAAGGCGACGACGGGUAGCCGGCCUGAGAGGGCGACCGGCCACACUGGGACUGAGACACGGCCCAGACUCCUACGGGAGGCAGCAGUGGGGAAUAUUGCACAAUGGGCGAAAGCCUGAUGCAGCGACGCCGCGUGAGGGAUGACGGCCUUCGGGUUGUAAACCUCUUUCAGCAGGGAAGAAGCGAAAGUGACGGUACCUGCAGAAGAAGCGCCGGCUAACUACGUGCCAGCAGCCGCGGUAAUACGUAGGGCGCAAGCGUUGUCCGGAAUUAUUGGGCGUAAAGAGCUCGUAGGCGGCUUGUCACGUCGGUUGUGAAAGCCCGGGGCUUAACCCCGGGUCUGCAGUCGAUACGGGCAGGCUAGAGUUCGGUAGGGGAGAUCGGAAUUCCUGGUGUAGCGGUGAAAUGCGCAGAUAUCAGGAGGAACACCGGUGGCGAAGGCGGAUCUCUGGGCCGAUACUGACGCUGAGG
RNAcentral lists this ribosomal RNA (701 nucleotides) under Streptomyces sampsonii. RNAcentral describes it as "bacterial SSU rRNA". It matches the Rfam family "Bacterial small subunit ribosomal RNA", at positions 38 to 751 of the family's 1533-position model. The record is from RNAcentral. Lineage: Bacteria; Bacillati; Actinomycetota; Actinomycetes; Kitasatosporales; Streptomycetaceae.